RNAcentral lists this ribosomal RNA (502 nucleotides) under uncultured bacterium. RNAcentral's name for it is "partial 16S ribosomal RNA". It matches the Rfam family "Bacterial small subunit ribosomal RNA", at positions 30 to 523 of the family's 1533-position model. The record is from RNAcentral.
AUUGAACGCUGGCGGCAUGCCUUACACAUGCAAGUCGAACGGCAGCACGGGUGCUUGCACCUGGUGGCGAGUGGCGAACGGGUGAGUAAUACAUCGGAACAUGUCCUGUAGUGGGGGAUAGCCCGGCGAAAGCCGGAUUAAUACCGCAUACGAUCUACGGAUGAAAGCGGGGGACCUUCGGGCCUCGCGCUAUAGGGUUGGCCGAUGGCUGAUUCGCUAGUUGGUGGGGUAAAGGCCUACCAAGGCGACGAUCAGUAGCUGGUCUGAGAGGACGACCAGCCACACUGGAACUGCGACACGGCCCAGACUCCUACGGGAGGCAGCAGUGGGGAAUUUUGGACAAUGGGCGAAAGCCUGAUCCAGCAAUGCCGCGUGUGUGAAGAAGGCCUUCGGGUUGUAAAGCACUUUUGUCCGGAAAGAAAUCCUUGGCUCUAAUACAGUCGGGGGAUGACGGUACCGGAAGAAUAAGCACCAGCUAACUACGUGCCAGCAGCCGCAGUAA